CCUACGGUGGACAGCAGUGAGGAAUAUUGGUCAAUGGACGCAAGUCUGAACCAGCCAUGCCGCGUGCAGGAAGACGGCUCUAUGAGUUGUAAACUGCUUUUGUACGAGGGUAAACGCAGAUACGCGUAUCUGUCUGAAAGUAUCGUACGAAUAAGGAUUGGCUAACUCCGUGCCAGCAGCCGCGGUAAUACGGAGGAUUCAAGCGUUAUCCGGAUUUAUUGGGUUUAAAGGGUGCGUAGGCGGUCGGAUAAGUUAGAGGUGAAAUCCCGAGGCUCAACUUCGGAAUUGCCUCUGAUACUGUUCGGCUAGAGAGUAGUUGCGGUAGGCGGAAUGUAUGGUGUAGCGGUGAAAUGCUUAGAGAUCAUACAGAACACCGAUUGCGAAGGCAGCUUACCAAGCUACUUCUGACGUUGAGGCACGAAAGCGUGGGGAGCAAACAGGAUUAGAUACCCGAGUAGUC
This 460-nucleotide ribosomal RNA is filed under the name uncultured bacterium. Its description in RNAcentral is "partial 16S ribosomal RNA". It matches the Rfam family "Bacterial small subunit ribosomal RNA", at positions 338 to 795 of the family's 1533-position model. The record is from RNAcentral.